UGCCCCAUAGUCUGGGAUACCACUUGGAAACAGGUGCUAAUACCGGAUAAGAAAGCGGAUCGCAUGAUCAGCUUUUAAAAGGCGGCGUAAGCUGUCGCUAUGGGAUGGCCCCGCGGUGCAUUAGCUAGUUGGUAAGGUAAAGGCUUACCAAGGCGAUGAUGCAUAGCCGAGUCGAGAGACUGAUCGGCCACAUUGGGACUGAGACACGGCCCAAACUCCUACGGGAGGCAGCAGGG
RNAcentral lists this ribosomal RNA (236 nucleotides) under uncultured Lactobacillus sp. RNAcentral's name for it is "partial 16S ribosomal RNA". It matches the Rfam family "Bacterial small subunit ribosomal RNA", at positions 127 to 354 of the family's 1533-position model. Lineage: Bacteria; Bacillati; Bacillota; Bacilli; Lactobacillales; Lactobacillaceae. The record is from RNAcentral.